Molecule: ribosomal RNA, 253 nt
Filed under: uncultured bacterium
Lineage: Bacteria
Description: partial 16S ribosomal RNA
Rfam family: Bacterial small subunit ribosomal RNA
Source: RNAcentral
UACGUAGGGUGCAGGCGUUAAUCGGAAUUACUGGGCGUAAAGCGUGCGCAGGCGGUUUUCUAAGUCAGAUGUGAAAUCCCCGGGCUUAACAUGGGAACUGCGUUUGAAACUGGGAGGCUAGAGGGCGGCAGAGGGGGGUGGAAUUCCACGUGUAGCAGUGAAAUGCGUAGAUAUGUGGAGGAACACCGAUUGCGAAGGCAGCCCCCUGGGCCUGCACUGACGCUCAUGCACGAAAGCGUGGGGAGCAAACAGG